AGCAGCCGCGGUAAUUCCAGCUCCAAUAGCGUAUAUUAAAGUUGUUGCAGUUAAAAAGCUCGUAGUUGAAUUUCGGGGUUAGUAGGUUGGUCAUGCCUCUGGUAUGUACUGGUCUCACUGAUUCCUCCUUCCUGAUGAGCCGUAAUGCCAUUAAUUUGGUGUUGCGGGGAAUUUGGACUGUUACUUUGAAAAAAUUAGAGUGUUUAAAGCAAGCUAACGCUUGGAUACAUUAGCAUGGAAUAAUGAAAUAGGACGUUCGAUCCUAUUUUGUUGGUUUCUAGGAUUGACGUAAUGAUUAAUAGGGAUAGUUGGGGGCAUUAGUAUUCAAUUGUCAGAGGUGAAAUUCUUGGAUUUAUUGAAGACUAACUACUGCGAAAGCAUUUGCCAAGGAUGUUUUCAUUAAUCAAGAACGAAAGUUAGGGGAUCGAAGACGAUCAGAUACCGUCGUAGUCUUAACCAUAAACUAUGCCGACUAGGGAUCGGAUGAUGUUAAUUUUUUAAUGACUCAUUCGGCGCCUUACG
This 522-nucleotide ribosomal RNA is filed under the name uncultured Glomeromycotina. Its description in RNAcentral is "SSU rRNA". It matches the Rfam family "Eukaryotic small subunit ribosomal RNA", at positions 569 to 1092 of the family's 1831-position model. The record is from RNAcentral. Lineage: Eukaryota; Fungi; Glomeromycota.